UACCAGGUAAACCAAUUGGGC
RNAcentral lists this small nuclear RNA (21 nucleotides) under Arabidopsis thaliana (thale cress). RNAcentral's name for it is "snRNA_12878". Lineage: Eukaryota; Viridiplantae; Streptophyta; Magnoliopsida; Brassicales; Brassicaceae. The record is from RNAcentral.